Molecule: long non-coding RNA, 249 nt
Filed under: Mytilus galloprovincialis (Mediterranean mussel)
Lineage: Eukaryota; Metazoa; Mollusca; Bivalvia; Mytilida; Mytilidae
Source: RNAcentral
AAUACAAGACAAGAACAGACAGACAGAUCCGGUAUUAAUGAUUAUGAGAAUUACGAUUUUUGCUUUAUCCUACAUAUCGGUCUUUUAAUGUUUUGAAUUUCCCUAAAACUUUAAAGUCUUAAAUAACAAUGAAUCUAUGUUUUUGCUUUGAGACCAGAAUAUUGUCGAAAAAAUAGCUAAAAAUGAUUUGCGUUUCUAUGUAAGAAAGAGUCCGGGAAACGCUCAGAAUGCACGAUUUUGCGUUAUUUU